AUUUGUUAACCAGGAUUUUUGAGAAUGUAUGCUUUCUCUUUUCUUUAGAAAAGUCAAGAUGCACAUUGAUUCCAACAGUGAAGUGACAAGGAUUUACAAUGUGACUGGUACUCUCAGAGGAGCCAUGGAACCAGACAGAUAUGUCAUUCUUGGAGGUCACCGAGACUCAUGGGUCUUUGGGGGCAUUGACCCUCAGAGUUGAGCAGCUGUUGUUCAUGAAAUUGUGAGGAGCUUUGGAACACUGAAAAAGGAAGCAUGGAGGCCUAGAAGAACAAUUUUGUUUGCAAGCUGGGAUGCAGAAGAAUUUGGUCUUCUUGGAUCUACUGAGUGGGCAGAGGUUAGUGAAUAAUUUGCUAUAAUGUUAAAUUUCAUAGUAACAAAGCAGU
This 386-nucleotide long non-coding RNA is filed under the name Ictidomys tridecemlineatus (thirteen-lined ground squirrel). RNAcentral's name for it is "lncRNA (ENSSTOG00000031985.1)". Lineage: Eukaryota; Metazoa; Chordata; Mammalia; Rodentia; Sciuridae. The record is from RNAcentral.